This is a long non-coding RNA of Brassica rapa (field mustard), 11862 nucleotides long. RefSeq lists it as uncharacterized. Lineage: Eukaryota; Viridiplantae; Streptophyta; Magnoliopsida; Brassicales; Brassicaceae. The record is from RefSeq and is a predicted model, not a curated record.
AAGAAUUGAUUUGGCUAUCUAUAUCACCAAAGUUGACUUACCUUUUCCGGAGCACAUCCUGAAAGAACUCCAGAGUUAAUCGUGCUUGAGCUGGAGUAGUAGAACGAUGGGUGACCUAUCGGGAAGUGAUUUGUGAUAGCGUGCGAGUGAGGCCAAAGCAUGGGAAAAGGUCGGGUGGUGAUUGCAGGGUCAGUAAACAAUGAUUCCAAGCCUUGGAAAAUAAACGGACCGACCGUCACCGGAUGGGGCCUACGAGCCGAGAGAGCGGGCGUGGGUGGCCCAUUAGCCGUGGGCGGGCCGGGGCCUUAUAAGUAGUAUCAGAACUGGUUAGCCAUCUCGGUUCUGACCUGAGAGAGGCGUCUUGAGACUUGUCAUGGGCCGCAACGAGGACGUUGCGUUCUUUUAGAGGAGGUGAAUUGUAACAUCCCGAGUUGUUAUAUGUGAAAAGGCUUAAGAGAAUUUAUUUGGCUACCUAUGUCACCAAAGUUGACUUACCUUUUCCGGAGCACAUCCUGAAAGAAAUUCAGAGUGAAGCAUGCUUGAGCUGGAGUAGUAGAAGGAUGGGUGACCUAUCGGGAAGUGAUUCGUGAUAGCGUGCGAGUGAGGCCAAAGCAUGCGAAAAGGUUGGGUGGUGAUUGCAGGGUCAGUAAACAAUGAUUCCAAGCCUUGGAAAAUUAACGGACCGACCGUCAGACGGGAUGGGGUCCACGGGUCAGUAAAUUCUAAACUCACAGAUCAACCUAUAGCAGAAAGCGGAUCAUCAUUUGGAAUUUUGGUUUAAAUGUUAUGGACUUAUGGUUGUUUAUUUGGGACUGAUUUCUGUAGAGCGAGUCCACGAACAGUCAACUUCAUAAGCGUUUUCCUGUUUAUCCCGACUGUCUUAGAAAACGAGCGAGAUACUGUUGGAAAGGUCUCGUUGUCCGCUUUCCAGAUCAUUCUUCAGAUCGGCAAACUGAGGAAAGUUUCUUAUGGACCUAAGACAUUAAUUCUCGUGUCGCAGUUGACUGUAUCCUCCGUUGUCCAUUUCAUCCAGUGGCUAAGGUGAGGGUUAUUCCGUUUAAUCCCGUGCUAGUUUAGUACUACGAUUAUGGAAAGUUUAGUUUCGAAACAUGUUCCGUCUCUGUGAAUCGAGUCUAACUGGAGUCUUGUUUGUUUUUGUUUUAUUCUUUGUGUAAACCGGAGAUAGGGAAUUAGAUGAUUCAACUGUUGAUUGAUUUGUGUGAUAUUAAAAAACGGUUAUAUAUAAGUAUAUAUACGUAUAGUAUGGAUGGGUUAGCCGGAUACAGGGAAAUACUUCUGUAUCGGCCUAUUUGUGUGGAGAUUACGGGGAGUACAGGGAAGCACUCAUGUACCACGUAUAAGCUGCGGGAGUACAUGGAAGCACUUCUGUACUACGUGGCAAUUGUUUGUGCAGAGAUUGCAGGGCGUACAGGGAAGCACUUCUGUACCACGCAUGAGCUGCGGGAUUAUAGGAAAGUACUUAUAUACUACAUAGCAUUGUGUAUGAGGAGAAUGUGGGAGUACAUGUAAGCACUAAUGUACUACGCAUACUUUUGGUAUACAUGAAUAUUUAUAUAUCUAUAUCCGUAUGAGGAGAAUACGGGGUGCAAAGAAUAACUAUGUACUAUAAGCGUAUUGGUUGUUAUGUGUGGCAUAAUAGGUGCCGUGUUUGUUUCAUGUUAGAGCUAGGCCUACAUAGUCGUAGUGCUAUGUACUGAGUCAGUGGUUUGCGGCUUAACAUCCCAUAGCUCACUGAGUGACUCCCCUGUUGCUCACCUCUCCUUCCCAUUGAAGGUGAGCUUGCCGAGUAGUUGGAUAUCUGGACGGUUUGGUGUAUUUGGGAUAAUUGUAUUUAUUUAGGUUUUAAUUAAUAACAUAUACGAAUUUUAUAUUCGAUUUAUUUGACAUAUUUUUAUAAUUCAGUUUAAUGAUGUAUUUCUUUCGGAUUAAUUUUAUUAAAUGCUUUGGUAUUUGAAUCGGUUUGAAUAACACAGUUUAAUUCGAUAUUUUACUGGUAGUUACAUGUCAUUCUUGAAAGUGGAAGAGACGGGUGUUACAAUUUGGUACAUAUAUAAUACUAUAUUCUAUAUAUAAUUUGGGUGAGGGUAACAUGUUUUUUUGGUUGAACGUUAUUGGCAAUCCGAAUACAUAUUGGUUGGUUAAUGAGGUUUUUUAUAUUUUGGUGAAGAAUGUUGCUUGUGGGUAUUAAGAGUAUCAUUUGUUGAUACCAAAAAUUCAUGGAUUUGGUUUAAUCUUUUACAAAUACAAUACUUUUUCAAUGUCUAAGGUUUUGUUUCAGAAGAGAUUUGAUUGCAAUUUAUGCUAAAUCAUAUACUUUUAAGCGUUUUGUUUUGUUGAGUCUCCAGCAAUUAAAAAAUAAUAUAAAACAUAUGUUGUUUGAAUGAGUAUUUGGAAAUGUAAAUUCAUUCUUAGUUCUUUUUUGUCAAUGAUACAAAAUAAGAAAUGUCGAAUAAAACGUUAGUUAUUUAUGUUGAGGAAACAAAUAUGUUAGUUACAAUAUAACUUUCAUUAUUUAUUUUGUUAGAAAUAAAAAAAUUGUCUUAAUUAUGAUAAUAUCUGGAAUAAAACCUUUAGAACGUUAGUUGAUUGGAGUGUAAAUGGAUUAUUUAUUUUUGAUAGUUUUUAACUUCUGUGAUUUUAAUGCUUCCAAUUUUCUGUUACAAUUUCGCUAUUUAGUAGGGAUGUUAAGAAUGGGUAAAAACACAUGUUCUAAAACUCGGAUAACCCGGCCGAUUAACCGGCGAGUAUACGCAGUGCGGCCAACCACCAUGGCGAAUCGACCAUAAUCGGCAAUAAAAUCGGGACUUUGAAAACAUCUUGUUUUUGUUUCGAUUUUUGUUAAAAACUAGUACAUUUAAGUUAGAUCUACACAUAUUACAUAGAAUUGUGCGAACAAAUGAUGAAAAUAAUGAAAAAACUGAACACAAAAAUGGAGGCAGCUGGUUUUGCAGGUUACGUUCAUAUGGCAAAGUGAAAGGGAUGACUCAGCAAAUUGCCAUUUUACCCUUCUUUAAAUGAAAAAAAAUUAAAAUAAGCUAAAACAACAAAAUCCAGUCUUGAACCCGGAUGCUAACUCUAGACUUCAACACUUUUAAGCAUUUGAGCUAGACCGUUUCUUUGAUAUUAUACGAAAAUAAUAGUUUAUAUACACAUAUAUACAUAAAAUGAUGAAAAAUUAAUCUCCGAUUACUCUUCGAUUAAUCUCCGAGUUUUUGUUAACUCGUUAGGCCCGGAUGUGCCGCAUGGAUAGCGCCUAGCGAGUUCUUGAACAUGGGUAAAAACCCAUAGGGUACCCUAAACCUUAUUAAAAUUUCAAACCCAAAACCCGAAUUAUCUGUGUUUAAAACUCGCGGGUUUAGUUUGGGAGGGUCUUGAUUUGUAAAUUACCCUAUCAGGUUUACUACCCAAUCGGGUUUUUCUGGAAAAAAUAAAUUACUAAACAAAACGAUACUUUUUACCUUUGACGUUGUCGUCGUCUUCUCUCCUCUCCUUCUAUCGUUUCUCUCUCUAUUUGUCUAAUUCUUCAUCUUCUCUGUCCGGUAAAACGCUCUCUCCAAUCUCCAAUCUUCACAUCUCUCUUGUUAUCUUUAUUGUUUAUGUUUCUGGCCAACACUUCUCUAAUUGCUUCUCGAGUUAUAGGUCAUGGUUAACAUCACAAUUGCAAUGUUUGUGAGCUUAGUUUGUUGUUACUUAGCAGCGUAAUCCAAUUAUGUAUCUGAUCAUUAUGAUUUUGUCUUUGACUAGGUUUUAUCUUUGUGCUAUAGAUCAUUGUGAUUUUGCCUUUAAGUCAUGGCAUGUUGCAACGUUUAGUUCUUCUCCUUUUAGUAUCAUUCCUCUUUUCUAACACAAUUAUGAUCUUGGUACAUAAUAUAAUGACUUUUUGUAAGAAACGCAAGUGCGGAUGAUUAUGAGAUUAUAAGUUUUGGUUUUUUUUUUGAGGAGUUAGGCUUUUUUUUGAGCAAGAGAAGUUAACAUACUAAUUAUUGAAUUCCAAGAGUUCUUCUCUUUUCUUGUCUCAUAUCCUUUUAUUUUGUAUAUUACUUUGUUUCAUGUAAUAAAGCUUUUUUUUUCUUGAGUCGAUUACCAUUUAGGACACUUUUUUAUCUUUUUUAACACUUUAAGACACAAUCCGCUGGAGGGACACUUUCCUUGAAUCUGAGAGCUGUUUUGGACAGAAAUGCCCUUGCUCAGAAGAAACGGAAGAUGUGCUUAUGUUUGGGUAAGUAUAAAUUGUAACUUGUUUUUCUUAUUUCUCUUAAUGUUUCAUUUACUUUUAUUUCAAAUUCUAAAAUAUAUAAAACAAAAAUAAUUAUCACAUUAAAUUAUGUAUAAAAUUCUCUAUCUUUUAACAUCCAUUUUCAUAUAUAUAUAUACUAAUAUAUAUACAAAAAAAGUAUGGACAUGGAUAUCAUAGUGUGGAUAAUAUAGUUAUAAAUUAAUUGUGGACAUGGACACAAAACCAUAUUUAUUCAUACACUAUUUCAGUUUCUGAUUAAAUAAAUAUAUAAUAACCAUAUAAAAACAUGUUUCUUUUUUCUUAUUAUUUUGAUAUCCAUAUAUAUAUUUUUAUAUUUUAAUGUCUAACUAAAUUGCUAAAUUAUAAUUUAUUAGACAUAUGUUUUAUGGAUGUGGACACAAUAUUUUUUUUUUACAAAAUUCUAUGUUUUGUUUUCUAUUUUUUUAUUUAAAGAUGUAUAUGACCAAAAAAAUUAGUAUAACAAAGUGAUAUAUAUUUGUUAUUUAAUGAUAUAUACUUUUAUUGUUUUAUCUAAUUUUCUAUAUAUAUUUUUUAUAUAUAACUUAUAAGAAUAUAUGAAUAUGGAUUAUAAAAGUGUGAACGUAAGAUAUGUGGACAUGGAUAUAAAUGUGUAAAAGAGAAUAUCUAGACAUAUUAGUAUGACACACAAGUUGUAUCCACAUCAAAGUUUCUGAAAGAGAUCAUGUUAAAUGAUGUCCAUUAUCGAUUAUUUGUGAGCUAGUAGGUGUGGACAUGGAUUAGGAUAUAUUUAUAUGGACAUUGUAAUCAUGAAGAACAUAAUUGCAUAAAGCAUGUCUGUGGUGUAUACUUGAAAAUUUUGAUACUAAUUAGAAUACAAAUCUGCACAUUUAAAAAUUGAGGGUGAAAACAAAUACUUACAUAAAUAUAAGGACCAAAUAUGUAAAUUCAUCAUUCUUAUUGCAGAUCUAAUCGAGCUUUCACCCAUGGUGAUACCAAGCUCAAACCACUGCAGCUUCACCUAUAUAAUGGAUGAGACUUCGGAAAUGAGUUGAGCAAGGCGAGGAGUCAACUUGAGCAGCAGAUCUCGUGGUGGCGGAGGAUUUCGACGAGCUCGAACCCCCAUGGCUUCACUGAGCCACCGAGCUCACCGAUGCGAUGUUGAGCUCGAAAUCCAUGUUGAGGCGUUUUCUCUUUCUUUUUUUUAUCCGUGGAUUCUGUCAUGAUUCGUAAUAAAAAGAUAGAAAAACAGACAAAAAAUAGAGAUAGACAAAGGAAUAAGAAAAAGUUGAGAAGAAGGAGACAAGCCAAGAGGAUUAAGAAUUAAUUGUUUCUUCGAUUUGAUGAAGGAGAGUGUAUCGUGAUUAUUGGAUUUGAGUAUGCGUUAUGAAAAUAAAUAAAAAGAAAAAUAGAGUUUAAUAAAAGUGAAUCUGAACUUGAAUUUUGAAAUUCUAAAAUAAAUAAAUUUUUGAAUGAUUUAAUAAAAAGACUUUUGGAUUUAGUUAGAGUUGUUAGUUAAUAUCUUUCUAGUUAUUGUUAGAUAAGGUUGAGGGCAUCUAAGAUAUUGCACAUAGAAAUUGUGUGCCUCAAGCAACAAGUGUUUGUGUGCCUCAAGCAACAAGUGUCUAAAUAUGCAAUUCCAAAGACAUAAUGUGUCCUAGAAUGUAAAAAAAUCUUUUUUCUUUCUUCGCAAUAUGUUUACAGCUUAAAUCCAUAUUAUAUUUGCCGUCUUCCAACAUUUCAAAUUUUGAGUGAAAUAGUUACUCUUUUAUGUUAUGUUCGAUCUUCCAGUUUCUCCACACCUUAUAUAUUAUCUUUGAGACUUAUGCCCACCAGUCAAUUGCACGUUAUAUUUCAAUAUUUUUUUCACAAUAACUGUUAUAAUGUAAGUCUCCGUAGAGAGUUAUGUAUUCAUGUCAUCAGUAUAUAUACACACGAUAUGCAUCUUUAUCUAGAGGAGGGGAUAUACACAAAUCAGAUACAUGAUUAUCUCUAAGUAUUGUAUCUUAUCUAACACUCCCCCUCAGUCAAAGAGGCAGGUUCACGAACGCUUAGACUGUUCCGAAACUCCAAAAAUAGAGGUGACGACAGGCCCUUGGUAAAUAUGUCAGCGAACUGUUGUGCAGUUGGUACAUGGAGCACUCGAAUCUCACCAAUUCCCACCUUUUCACGCACAAAGUGAAUGUCUAUUUCCACAUGCUUGGUACGUUGGUGCUUAACUGGGUUGGAAGACAUGUAGAUGGCUGAGAUAUUGUCGCAGUAGACUAAAGUGGCACGCUGGACCGGAAUUUUCAGUUCAAGUAAUAGCGUACGAAGCCACGUAGCUUCGGAGACAGCAUUCGCCACCCCUCGAUAUUCAGCUUCGGCGCUCGAUCGCAAGAUGACAUCUUGUCGUUUAGACGACCAGGACACAAGAUUAUCCCCAAGAAAAACACAAUAUCCUGACGUAGACCGUCUAGUGGAGGGACAGCCAGCCCAAUCAGCAUCCGAAUACGUGACCAUAUCAUUUUUUUUUGACUUGUACAGUCGCAGGCCGUGAGAAAUAGUACCUUUGACAUACCGAAGCACGCGUUUGAGGGCAUGUAGAUGAGACUCAAGAGGAUCAUGCAUGAAUAGGUACACUUGUUACACGGCAAAUGCGAUAUCUGGCCGUGUAAAUGUGAGAUAUUGUAGAGCCCCUGCGAGACUACGAUACAGCGAAGGGUCAGUGACCGGUGGGCUGUCAUCGGUGGCAAGUUUUGACCUUGUAUCUGCUGGUGUGAGACAUGGAUUGCAGUCAGUCAUGCCAGCACGAUGUAGAAUGUCCGCAGCAUAGUUUUGUUGUUGGAGAAACAGUCCUUGCUUAUCACGCUGCACAGAGAUUCCGAGAAAGUGAUGAAGCCGGCCCAAAUCAGUCAUGUCAAACUCAGCUUUGAGGGCAUUAAUGAUUCGGCUAGGGAGACUCUGUGUUGAUGCCGUGAGCACAAUGUCAUCCGCGUACAAUAGGAGAUAAGCCGUCUGCGUUUGAUGAGAGAGGAUGAACAGGGAAGCAUCCGACUUGGUCUGUGUGAAGCCAAUCUUCUCUGCGACAUUAGCAAAUCUAUUGUACCAGGUUCUGGGCGCUUGUUUGAGGCCAUAGAUAGCUCGCUGAAGCAGACACACAUGAUCAGGUGUAGAUGGAUCAACAAAACCAGGUGGUUGAUGCAUGUAGACGGUUUCUUCAAGAUCACCAUGAAGAAAUGCAUUCUUAACAUCAAGCUGGUGAAGAGGCCAGUCUCUAGCAGUCGCGACAUGUAGCACUGUUCUGAUGGUUUCUGGUUUGACAACAGGACUGAAAGUCUCUUCACAAUCAAUACCAGGUCGUUGAGACUUGCCAUUCGCAACCAGUCGCGACUUGUGCCGGUUUAGGGUGCCGUCUGCAUUGAACUUAUGCAUGUAAAGCCACAAACAGCGAAUAAUAUUAGUAGCAACAGGUCAUGGUACUAGUUUCCACGUUCCACGUUUAAUAUGAGCAUUGUACUCCUCUUUCAUAGAGGGAUUCCAGUUCGGAUCUUUAGCUGCUUGCACGUGAGAUACUGGUAAGGGAGAAAUUGUUGUGUCCGUAUGGAGACACAACAGAGCUCGUGGUUUGUAUAUACCACUUUUACUGCGAGUAGUCAUAGGGUGGUUGGAUUGAGAAGGUAGAGACACUGCAGGUGUAGUAGGAGAAGGCGAAGGACGACGUAUAAUAGGCGGAGGAGGUAAAGACUCAAGAGAGGGACUCACAGGUGUUUGAGAAGAAGUUGAGAAUGGAAAUAUAUUUUCAUCGAAUGUGACACGGCGGGAGAGUAUGAUUUUGUGAGAUUGUAAGUCAAGACAUAUGAACCCACGGUGAUCAGUCGGAUACCCAAGGAAGACGCAUGGGGUAGACCGCGGCGCCAGCUUGUGAACUGUUGUUGGCAGGAGAUUAGGGUAGCAGAGACAGCCAAACAUGCGGAGAUGCAUAUAGCGAGCUGGUGUUUUGAACAGCUUUGUGAUUGGUAUUUCAUUGCUGAUGGCGGAGGACGGUAAGAGGUUGAGAAGAUGUACUGCAGUGUGGAGAGCUUCCACCCAAAACGUGUCCGGCAUUGAGGCUUGUUGUAACAUCGUACGGACAAGGUUGUUUAUGGUGCGAAGCAUUCUUUCUGCACGGCCGUUUUGUUGCGAAGUGUAUGGACAGGAAAACCGAAAUGUGGUUCCUUGUGUUGCUAAGAAGUCCUUGAAGGCCUUGUUAUCAUACUCCCCACCGUUGUCACAUUGUAAUGCUUUGAUCGUGCUCUUAAAUUGAGUCUGCACAUAUCGAGUGAAAUGAAGAUACUUUGCAAAGGUAUCGCAUUUUCGAUGAAGAGGAUAAAUCCAAACAAAGUGUGAGUAUUGAUCAAGAAAAAGAAGAUAGUAUUUGAAACCAUUAACACUUAGGACAGGAGAGGUCCAAAUAUCAGAAUGUAUAAUGUCAAAAGGAUUAGAAACAAUGCUAUUAGAGGUAAAGAAAGGCAGUCUGGUAUGUUUACCAAGUUGACAUGCAUGACAAAGAUUUGUCAAGUCAGUCUUACUGAAACUAAGAGAAAGCGAUGAAAGGAUGCGUUGAAGAACUUGAUCACUUGGAUGACCUAAUCUUCGAUGCCACAGAGAAGAGGUAUUUUGAGAAGAAAACAAAGCCAGGUGAGGAGAAGAUUGCAACGGUGGAGUAAUAGGGUAGAGAGGUCCUUGACUAUUGCAUCGGAGCAAAGUUGUCCGAUUGUGAAGAUCCUUAUUAGAAAAACCAAAGUAUUCAAGUGAGCAAAAAUUAUCAGUAACAAAUUUUCGAACAGAGAUUAGAUUUUUAAUAAUAGAAGGACACACAAGAACAUUGCGAAGAUGAAAGGGACGAGAAUUAGAAGGAAUAACUCCCUGACCAAGUUUCGUGACUGGAGCAUACGAGCCGUUUCCGACUAUGACAGAAGGUAAGUUGCUCGUAUUAACAGUCGAACGAAGAGUACCUUAAUCUGAAGCUAUGUGAUUCGUCGCUCCUGUGUCGAAGUACCACGUCGCAUUGCUCGGAUCCUCAAAACUCAUGGUGUUGAACGCAUGUGUUAGGUUCGCAGGGAUCGUGUUAAGCAUCGGCUGCUGGACAGAUGGUGACACAAUGGAAUGAGCUUCAUUGGUCAUUCGAGCAUCAGGACGUGGACCUAGUAAACCAGGUUGCAUCAUACCAUUAUUCGGAACCAUUCGUUGCUGUCCCAUGGAAUAGUUAUUGAAGAAUGGCGGCUGUUGCUGAUAGAACGAUGACCAUUGCGGUUGUCCAAACUGUCAGUUCUGAGUGUAGAACGGCGAAUUCCAGUUAUUGAAGCGUCCACGCCCGCGAUUUUUGCGACCACCACGUCCACGACCACGGUUUCCACGAUGAGAGCCUCCAUUGUUGUUGUUGUUGUAGCUAUUGUUGUUGUUGGAGGGACCAUUGUUAGUGUUGCUGUUAUUCGAGUUUUGUUGCUGAGGUGCUGAAGUCGUAUACAAAACAUUCGGAGCAGAAGCAUUGUCAUUAUGAGUGACAUUAGGCUUGACAUGUUUAGAUAGUCGAUCUUCUUCCAUAGAUAGCAUAGAUCGAGUCUCAAGAAAGCUGGGAAAAGGCACUUUGUGCUUAAUGACAUUGAUUAUGUUGUCAAACUUCUCUGACAGCCCAUUGAGAAGAUGCAUGACUAAUGAUUUGUCUGGAACCGGUGAGUCCAGAUUGGCCAAGAGAUCCGACAGAGUCUUCAGUUUGUUGCAGUAGUCGUGGAUUGAGAGAUCUCCAAUGACAAUGGUGCGUAGCUCGUUUUCAAUUUGUAAAGCCCAUGCUUCUUUGUUGUCCCUGAAAAGAUUUUCAAUCUUUAACCAAAGAUCUCGAGCAGUACACUUCGUGGUGAGGACGGUUUCGAGAAUAGAAUCAGAUAUUGUUCCAUAGAUCCACAUCUUCACAAGUCCAUCGUGUUCUUUCUAUUCUUUCUCCGUAUCAGGAGUGGGUAAUAGAGACCCAUCGAUAUGACCAAGAACACCAAAGCUUAUGCAGUGAGUUUCAAAGAGUUCUCGCCACACUUGGUAGUUCAGUUUGAUCAUAUCCAGCUUUAUAGGGAUGUAUGCUUUUAUUUGAGAUAUGCCGAAAAGAUUGUCAUUGAAUGAAGUAACGACAGCCAUGGCGAGAAAAUAGAGAAGAAGAAGAGAAUAAAGAUUUUAGGAGAAGAAGAAGAAGAAAGCGGAGAGGAUCAAAGAGCUGGGUGGCUAGGUUAAGUUUCUGAUACCAUGUUAUAAUGUAAGUCUCCGUAGAGAGUUAUGUAUUCAUGUCAUCAGUAUAUAUACACACGAUAUGCAUCCUUAUCUAAAGGAGGUGAUAUACACAAAUCAGAUACAUGAUUAUCUCUAAGUAUCGUAUCUUAUCUAACAAUAACAAAAAUGGAAAAUAACGCUAAAGUAGUUAUGAUUAUCUCCACAUUGUUUAUGUUUUACUGAGAGUAGUAAAACAAUUCUCUCUGUUUGUAUAAACCAACAGUGCACAUUAUUAGAUUUUGGCUUUGGAAAGUUCUUAUGUUCCUGAAAAAAUGAAUAGAAGCCAGCAUAAAAAAUGCUUUGUACUAAACUACAGGAUGCUUGGUGCGCAAGAGUUUUCGUUAAACCAGAAAAUGUAGUGAGAAAAUUAGCUGAAUAACUUAUAACGGUGGAAUUGAUUGAAGACAUUAUGGUUUCUCUGAAAUUCAAAGUUUGUUAAAUAGAAUGAAGAGAAACAUGGAAAACAAAAGAAGCAAAAAGAAACAAAGAUAUGUAAACAUCUUUAAGCACAAUGAUCAAUUUCUAUAUGUAUGUGGUUGCUUCUCUUUUCAUCCUAGGCUGCUCCAAACUCUCCUGAGGUUUUAAAAUAGUUACUGAUCCACAUUUCUUCAUCAGCAUUAUCAUAUUUGUAUAUGUUCAUCAAGAACAGCAUGGAUCAUGAAAAAAAUUAGAAUCUAUAUGUGAACUGAUUAUAUAUCUCAACAACUUUGUGAAUCUAGAAAAUUAUUCAUAUAUUCAACACAUACAUAUGAGCGCAAGCAUAAUUUUUACAAAGAUAUGAGUGGAAGUUUUGGAGACUAUAGAACAUCUAAACUCAUGGGUAAUGAAAAAUCCACUAAAUCUCUCUAGUGUGCAACUUUUUUACAUGUACAUAGAUUUCCUAUCUUACCUUCUAGGGGAAGAUAAGUUGUAGAGUGAGAACGAACGAAUCCAUUGAUAAUACCAGAGUUGGAUGACACCUAUGUGAAACGUAGCGUGAUUCCUUGGUCUUUCGGGGUGGAAGGUCAGACCCUUAGCCCUGUUAUUCUAUUUCUCGAACAACGUCAGCGUUUUCCCAGUUCACAAAAACCAAAUCAAGACAAAUUGUUCAGUUCCUAGAAAACAAAAAUAAAAGGCAGAAAAGCAAAAAUGUAACCUAAAGUAUUUUAAUGGGUAUCAAAGAUCUUAUAUAAAUUAGGAUCCAUAGAAAGAAGAAGAGAAGAAAUAAUGACUCAACUCGCCGUAGAUCAUAAUAGUUCACUGGAGAAAGCAAAUAAUAGCAUCAUUACCGGAGAAGGGUUAAAUAUGAGAGAAAUAGAAAACAAUGAUAUGCAAGAAAUCUAUGUAACUUUCUGUUUCUUUUACCUAAA